Tribolium madens (black flour beetle) is the source of this 816-nucleotide long non-coding RNA. RefSeq lists it as uncharacterized. The transcript is spliced from 3 exons. The record is from RefSeq and is a predicted model, not a curated record. NCBI's taxonomy places the organism in Eukaryota, Metazoa, Arthropoda, Insecta, Coleoptera, Tenebrionidae.
CUUGAGUUAACAUCUAAAAGUGUCUAAACGACAAAACGAGGAAAAAUAAAAAAAAACUUAAAAAAGUUAUAGAAAAUAUUUUAUUGUGAUUAUACCUAUAAGUUAAACGUCACUGUAACAAAACAGUUAUUUUGUUGUCGGGAAAAACGUCUGUUUUUCUAUUUUCCGUUUUUGGCUUUUAGAUUUCAUCAAUUCGUAAAUCGAGUUCUUGUUCCAAAUUUGUCUCGGAAGAAGAAGGCUCAUCAAAUUUCUGUUCCAAAUUUCCGUUUGAAGUAGAAGGCUCAUCGAGAAACUGGCUUUCAUCUCCAUUUUCAACUUUCUUAAAGCCUCGUAGCAUUAACAUCUGAAACGAUGAAUGCAACUGUUGCAGCUUCUGCAACGAAGAGUUCGACAGUUGCAAUUUUCAUUUACCAUAUCCACUUCGUAAAAGUCAAUUUUAGACUGAGAGUGGACAAGAAAUUUUUUUGAGUCCUUUUCUGCAACUGCUUCAAAACUCAUCUCCAUUGCACGUUUGUGAAAUUUAUUUACAAGAAGAUCGCGAUGAGUAGCAGUGGGUCUUAAAACCGAAGCAACUCUUUUCCAAGACUUGUCCAAAAUGAGUUUAUGCAGAGCAUCAAGGCACGUCAAUCAUCCAAUACAAGAAUUGUGGUUAAUUCAAAAUUGUAUGGAUUGGUCCCAUGUGUUCUAUCAAGACAUAUGAUCCGGGGUCCAUAUGUGACAAGCAUAUACUUCAUUUCGCUGUUCAUGUAAGCUAAUGCAAAAUCAUCGUCUUCUAGUAUGUUGUGUUUGUGUCCAAUUUUUUUAAAAAUAAAAACA